UACGAAGGGGGCUAGCGUUGCUCGGAAUCACUGGGUGUAAAGGGUGCGUAGGCGGGUCUUUAAGUCAGGGGUGAAAUCCUGGAGCUCAACUCCAGAACUGCCUUUGAUACUGAAGAUCUUGAGUUCGGGAGAGGUGAGUGGAACUGCGAGUGUAGAGGUGAAAUUCGUAGAUAUUCGCAAGAACACCAGUGGCGAAGGCGGCUCACUGGCCCGGUACUGACGCUGAGGCACGAAAGCGUGGGGAGCAAACAGG
Molecule: ribosomal RNA, 253 nt
Filed under: uncultured bacterium
Lineage: Bacteria
Description: partial 16S ribosomal RNA
Rfam family: Bacterial small subunit ribosomal RNA
Source: RNAcentral